RNAcentral lists this ribosomal RNA (769 nucleotides) under Microbacterium maritypicum. Its description in RNAcentral is "bacterial SSU rRNA". It matches the Rfam family "Bacterial small subunit ribosomal RNA", at positions 43 to 824 of the family's 1533-position model. The record is from RNAcentral. Lineage: Bacteria; Bacillati; Actinomycetota; Actinomycetes; Micrococcales; Microbacteriaceae.
CGUGCUUAACACAUGCAAGUCGAACGGUGAAGCCCAGCUUGCUGGGUGGAUCAGUGGCGAACGGGUGAGUAACACGUGAGCAACCUGCCCCUGACUCUGGGAUAAGCGCUGGAAACGGCGUCUAAUACUGGAUACGAGUAGCGACCGCAUGGUCAGCUACUGGAAAGAUUUAUUGGUUGGGGAUGGGCUCGCGGCCUAUCAGCUUGUUGGUGAGGUAAUGGCUCACCAAGGCGUCGACGGGUAGCCGGCCUGAGAGGGUGACCGGCCACACUGGGACUGAGACACGGCCCAGACUCCUACGGGAGGCAGCAGUGGGGAAUAUUGCACAAUGGGCGCAAGCCUGAUGCAGCAACGCCGCGUGAGGGAUGACGGCCUUCGGGUUGUAAACCUCUUUUAGCAGGGAAGAAGCGAAAGUGACGGUACCUGCAGAAAAAGCGCCGGCUAACUACGUGCCAGCAGCCGCGGUAAUACGUAGGGCGCAAGCGUUAUCCGGAAUUAUUGGGCGUAAAGAGCUCGUAGGCGGUUUGUCGCGUCUGCUGUGAAAUCCGGAGGCUCAACCUCCGGCCUGCAGUGGGUACGGGCAGACUAGAGUGCGGUAGGGGAGAUUGGAAUUCCUGGUGUAGCGGUGGAAUGCGCAGAUAUCAGGAGGAACACCGAUGGCGAAGGCAGAUCUCUGGGCCGUAACUGACGCUGAGGAGCGAAAGGGUGGGGAGCAAACAGGCUUAGAUACCCUGGUAGUCCACCCCGUAAACGUUGGGAACUAGUUGUG